This 253-nucleotide ribosomal RNA is filed under the name uncultured bacterium. Its description in RNAcentral is "partial 16S ribosomal RNA". It matches the Rfam family "Bacterial small subunit ribosomal RNA", at positions 524 to 776 of the family's 1533-position model. The record is from RNAcentral.
UACGGAGGGUGCAAGCGUUAUCCGGAUUCACUGGGUUUAAAGGGUGCGUAGGUGGGCAGGUAAGUCAGUGGUGAAAUCUCCGGGCUUAACCCGGAAACUGCCAUUGAUACUAUCUGUCUUGAAUACCGUGGAGGUGAGCGGAAUAUGUCAUGUAGCGGUGAAAUGCUUAGAUAUCAGGAAGAACACCUAUGGCGAAGGCAGCUCUCUGGGACGGUACUGACGCUGAGACGCGAAAGCGUGGGGAGCGAACAGG